This 48-nucleotide small nucleolar RNA is filed under the name Euglena gracilis. RNAcentral's name for it is "partial Eg-m36 box C/D methylation-guide snoRNA". Lineage: Eukaryota; Euglenozoa; Euglenophyceae; Euglenales; Euglenaceae. The record is from RNAcentral.
AAUCUGUCAAUCCCCUGAACCGGAUGAUGAACCGUCCUGACCUCUGAC